CCUACGGGAGGCAGCAGUGAGGAAUAUUGGUCAAUGGGCUCACGCCUGAACCAGCCAAGUCGCGUGAAGGAUGACUGCCCUACGGGUUGUAAACUUCUUUUAUAAAGGAGUAAAGUGAGGCACGUGUACCUUUUUGUAUGUAAUUUAUGAAUAAGGAUCGGCUAACUCCGUUCCAGCAGCCGGGGUAAUACGGAGGGUCCGAGCGGUAUUCUGAUUUGUUGGGGUUAAAGGGAGGGGUGAUCGGAUUGUCAGGCAGUUGUUAAAGUUGGGGGCUCAACCGUAAAAUUGCAAUUGAUACUGGCAGUCUUGAGUACAGUUGAGGUAGGCGGAAUGCGUGGUGUAGCGGUGAAAUGCUUAGAUAUCACGAAGAACUCCGAUUGCGAAGGCAGCUUACUAAACUGCAACUGACAUUGAUGCUCGAAAGUGUGGGUAUCAAACAGGAUUAGAUACCCCUGUAGUC
This 460-nucleotide ribosomal RNA is filed under the name uncultured bacterium. RNAcentral describes it as "partial 16S ribosomal RNA". It matches the Rfam family "Bacterial small subunit ribosomal RNA", at positions 338 to 795 of the family's 1533-position model. The record is from RNAcentral.